CCGCCUUUUCCAGCCACAUUCCCUCCUUUUCCUGCCUUUCCCAGCCUCGUUCCCAGCUUUUCCCACCUUUCCCAGCCAAAUUCCCUCAGGAAAAGCUCUGGGAGAUCCACUUUGGGUUCAAACUCAUCCCAGGAAAAAAAACUUGGAUCCCUCAGGAAUUGGGGUCUCAGGAAUUGGAUCCCUCAGGAAUUGGAAUCCUCAGGAAUUGGGGGUCUCAGGACUUGGAUCCCUCAGGAAUUGGAUCCCUCAGGAUUUGGGGGUCUCAGAUCCCUCAGGAUUUGGGGGUCUCAGGACUUGGAUCCCUCAGGAAUUGGAUCCCUCAGGAUUUGGGGUCUCAGGGCUUGGAUCCCUCAGGAAUUGGAAUCCUCAGGAUUUGGGGUCUCAGGGUUCAGAUCCCUCAGGAUUUGGGGGUCUCAGCCCCUCAGGAAUUGGAUCCCUCAGGAAUUGGGGGUCUCAGAUCCCUCAGGAUUUGGGGGUCUCAGGGCUCAGAUCCCUGAGGAUUUGGGGGUCUCGAGGCUCUGAUCCCUCAGGAAUUUGGGGUCUCAGGGCUUGGAUCCCUCAGGAAUUGGGAGCCUCAGAUCCCUCAGGAAUUUGGGGUCUCAGGGCUCAGAAUCCUCAGGAAUUUGGGGUCUCAGGGCUUGGAUCCCUCAGGAAUUGGGAGCCUCAGAUCCCUCAGGAAUUGGGGGGUCUCAGGAAUUGGAUCCCUCAGGAAUUGGGAGCCUCAGAUCCCUCAGGAAUUGGAUCCCUCAGGAUUUGGGGGCCUCAGGGCUCUCAUCCCAGGAAUUGGGGGUCUCAGUGCUCGGAUCCCUCAGGAUUUGGGGGUCUCAGCCCCUCAGGAAUUGGAAUCCCUCAGGAUUUGGGGGUCUCAGGGCUCUCAUCCCAGGAACUGGGGGUCUCAGGGCUCUGAUCCCUCAAAAAUUGGGGAUCCCAAGGCUCUGAUCCCUCAGGAAUUGGUGGGAUCUCCCCCCCCUCACCCCUCAGAGGGGGGAUCUCCCCCCCC
RNAcentral lists this long non-coding RNA (1000 nucleotides) under Manacus vitellinus (golden-collared manakin). Its description in RNAcentral is "lncRNA (ENSMVIG00005003266.1)". The record is from RNAcentral. Lineage: Eukaryota; Metazoa; Chordata; Aves; Passeriformes; Pipridae.